Archocentrus centrarchus (flier cichlid) is the source of this 475-nucleotide long non-coding RNA. RefSeq lists it as uncharacterized. Lineage: Eukaryota; Metazoa; Chordata; Actinopteri; Cichliformes; Cichlidae. The transcript is spliced from 7 exons. The record is from RefSeq and is a predicted model, not a curated record.
CUUGCACAACAAAGAGAAACUGGGCUUCGAAGUGAGAUUAGUGUGCAUACCGAUACUGAAGACAGGAGUCUCACUGGCUAAAGGAGUGUUAAUGAGAGGAGAGUCAGGUUCAUGAAGCUGCUGCUCCAGAGCUCAGUGAAGUCUUGGCAGCAGUGUUUGGCAUCAGAAUGACCAAGACAUUGAUAAAGGUACAACUAGGGGCAAAGAAGAAAUAUGUGAAAUUAGAGGAUGUUUGCUUCUCUGAUUUCGUUAGUGCUGUCCAGGAGAAGUUUCUCAUACCAGAGGACACAAUACUGAAAGUCACAGAUGACCACAGUGUAGAAGUGGAUGACGAUGUCUUUCCAGAACUUGCAGCCAGAGAAAUCUGUUUUGUCAUCUAUACUGAUGAUGAACUUCCACUAGCUGAAUCCUCCUCAAACUCUGCUGACUGCUCAGACAAGACAGAAUAUGUGACUCUUGAUCUAUCUGAUGUGCA